CCUACGGGAGGCUGCAGUAGGGAAUAUUGCACAAUGGGGGAAACCCUGAAGCAGCAACGCCGCGUGGGGGAUGAAGGUUUUCGGAUUGUAAACCCCUUUUGUUAGAGAAGAUAAUGACGGUAUCUGACGAAUAAGCCCCGGCUAACUCCGUGCCAGCAGCCGCGGUAAUACGUAGGGUGCAAGCGUUACUCGGAAUCACUGGGCGUAAAGAGCGCGUAGGCGGGAGAGCAAGUCAGAAGUGAAAUCCUAUGGCUUAACCAUAGAACUGCAUUUGAAACUGUUAUUCUAGAGUAUGGGAGAGGUAGGUGGAAUUCUUGGUGUAGGGGUAAAAUCCGUAGAGAUUAAGAGGAAUACUCAUGGCGAAGGCGACCUGCUAGAAUAUAACUGACGUUGAGGCGCGAAAGCGUGGGGAGCAAACAGGAUUAGAUACCCCUGUAGUC
Molecule: ribosomal RNA, 440 nt
Filed under: uncultured bacterium
Lineage: Bacteria
Description: partial 16S ribosomal RNA
Rfam family: Bacterial small subunit ribosomal RNA
Source: RNAcentral